AGGAGCUUCUGUGUGAUGGAAUCCAAGUCCAGCCCUUCAGAAACCAGCCAUGUCACCCGAUGAAGCUGAAGGGCAGCUGAAAGAAAGGACAUCUUCUAGAAUUAGCUACCGCAAGACGUGCCAGUGGCCACCAACUUGGAUGGACUGAAGGGCGGCCUGCACAAGGACUCUGGAGAAGGGGAUGCCAAGGGCUGCUCGUCUAGAAGGCUCUAUGUGACUUCCAGUUACGGAGAAUGUGUCUUUUUCUCAGUGCACUUGGAAUGGACCAGAACGGAAGUCACAAACAAUCAUAGAAAACAAGAGACACCCCACCCCUUCCACAGCGAACAACGAACUCAACCGAAAAACAAAAAUGAAAAACUUCAAACGAAGCCCAGUGGUCGGGUUUUUUCUUCUUUUUUCUAAAAUCCAUGAUUAAAACCUGGUACAAACAGGUGAAUAUAUAGAUAUAUAUAUCUCUUUUAGUAGAUGUAAUAUUUUUCCUCUCUCUUUCUCUCUUUCUCAUUAUACAGCAAACAUUUGCAAAUAUAGAAUUUCUUUUCUCUCUGUACAAUAGAAUGGCAUCAGUUUUACAAUGUGAUGUUGCGACAGACCCUUUCCAUCCCCCCAAAAACGCACACAUGAGACUUCAGACCCCCAAUCGUCUAAACUGGAAGACUCCGUUUGCAAAAGGCCCAAAGAGUUGCCUCUUUUAUUUCGGCUAACUUCUUCUGAUUUACCCUUUUCAUGUUUUUACUUUUUGGUUACAGAAAGGAAGAGAACAAAACUGUACAGGGU
RNAcentral lists this long non-coding RNA (777 nucleotides) under Varanus komodoensis (Komodo dragon). Its description in RNAcentral is "lncRNA (ENSVKKG00000004618.1)". The record is from RNAcentral. Lineage: Eukaryota; Metazoa; Chordata; Lepidosauria; Squamata; Varanidae.